GUGGUAAAUAUUUCCUAUGGCCUUACACAUGCACACGCGUGUGCCCACAUGCACAGGCAUAUACCCACAUUUUCCUCUAUAUGCAUACAGAUGUGAUCCCGUGCACAGCUGGUGGCCAGAGCACAUUUGAAAAUGAAAUACAACUGCAGUCCCAAUACAACCAGUUAUGCACAAAUCAGCCCAGAUCCGGCGUGCUGUGUUCCCACCUCCCGAAGGCCUGAAUGACCAGGUUCAGGUAAUGUUUUCGCCAUGGAAUAGUUUUUGAUUCCCCCCACCCCUUACUUUUGCACAAGGCUUUGGAAACUGGGGUGCCCCCCAGCACCUGCAAGGCCUGAGCGCUCCCCUCCGGCUGGGAGGACGGCGGCGGCAGCGCUGGCUGGCACCACCAGGUCCACCCUCCCUCUCUGGAGGUGACCGGUCCUGUGAGUGGUCCCUUACUCUUAAAUAACCUUCCCAGAGAUGUUAAGAAUACACAUAGAGAAUUGGGCACUAUUAGACAAAGCGGAAAGACUUAAUGCUGCCUUAAAAAUCUCAAGGCCUGCUGCAGCAGUGGGGUGACGCUGCAAACCACUGCUGCGCAGAAGGCGAGGACGAGGGCUUUACAAUGGCCUCCUGGUGCUUUGAACUCAGCAGCGCUCCCCAGGUGCCAGCACGACAGCAAGGAGGCCUAAACUUCACAAG
Molecule: long non-coding RNA, 681 nt
Filed under: Struthio camelus australis
Lineage: Eukaryota; Metazoa; Chordata; Aves; Struthioniformes; Struthionidae
Description: lncRNA (ENSSCUG00000018976.1)
Source: RNAcentral